Molecule: non-coding RNA, 218 nt
Organism: Pelobates cultripes (western spadefoot toad)
Lineage: Eukaryota; Metazoa; Chordata; Amphibia; Anura; Pelobatidae
Source: the annotation of a GenBank genome assembly
UCUAGGACACAUGGGGACACAGACACUGGGAGACCUGGGGACACUGGAAAACAUGGGGACACUGAGACACUAUGGGACACAUGGUGAUGCUGUGAGACAUAGGGACAUUGGGAGACAUUGGGACACAGAGACACUAUGUUCCCAUGUCCCCCAGCCAGUGUCCCUAGUGUCUCAGUGUCCCCAAGUCUCCCAGUGUCUGUGUCCCAUGUCUCUCAGUG